AGUUCCCUUUCUCUCUCACUUGAUAUUUUCACACUCACUCGGUGUUCUAUCUCAUCUCUCUCAAAGCUUCCUCUCCCUCUCCCACAAGGAGCUCCCUCUCUCUGUCAACAAUUUCACCUAUCCUUCUCAACAAUUUCACCCUCGUUAAACACAUUAUCGCUAACAAUAUCACCACUGUUGUGGCUCUAAUUUAACCCUAAAUAGUUUGGAUCGAAUACACUAUAUCUAACAAUGGCUUCUAAGAUUCAUUUAUCUUUCGAUUUACUAACUUUUGAUCUUCAAUCACGCUUCAGGAUAUAUAUUUCCGCUUUCUUGUCUCUUAUUUGUGUAUUCUAAUAAAAAAUUUCGUUUUCAUUUAUUUGCUUAGGGUUUAAAGAAACCGAAGGUAUACUUUCAAAGGAUUUAAUAGACGACAAUAUAUUUCAAGUACUUGCAACCCGUCUUCCAGAACCUUCCACAGCGCACUCGCUGUCAAGCUCCUUCCCCACCAAGAGAUGACUCAUUUUAUUCCCUCUCGUAACUUCGCUAAGGCGGUCGCAAAGAAGUCGAGCGCAGAUGAUAAUCUCAUUCAAGUUCUUCAAUCUGAAAGUUACUUACUAGUCAGUUUAUCUUGGAUUCUUUGUUUGCUUGCUUUAGUUUUUUGGGUAUACAAUUUUUGAGAAAGUUACUUUCCCUAAGAAUGAAUGUGAUAUGCAGAAGUACUCAGGUCUCCCAUCAAAUCUAUCCAUACGCACUUUAGAUGUCGUCAAAAUCUCCGACUUCAACAGUUGUGAAAGAAUCUUGGUGCAUAUUACAAGCAUCCACUUUAAAAAGAUAAGUAGUCAUCUUACAUCUUGUGAAAUUAAAGUCUUAUGGUUUUAGUUCAUAUAAAUAUCAUUACUUAGGAGAAGUUAAUCUUUUUGCUGUCAUAAUACCGCUUGAUAAGUUAUACGUGAAGAUUUUAUACACAUUGCUUCUACUUAAGCGUAAUGUUUCAGCCAUUAUGAAUAUCAUAAAGACAAAUUCAUCUUUGCAUGAAAUAUUGUUUAUUUAAAUGCUAUAUCCACUUCAAAAGGAUAAAAUAAAUAACUUUGCAUCUCAUUUGUUAGCCAUAUGAAAUAUAGUUUUGUAUGUACCAGCUUCCUGUUAGGCGGUCCUACGAUAUAUAUUGGCUAUAAUUUAGUUCGGCCUUUAUAUGGUUAUUUGCAGCAUGACGACAUCGAUCGGAAUUCUUUAGCCAUACACAACAGGUUGCUAGUUGAUGUUAGCACUGUUGUUCAUCUGGAAUCGGAAUUGGCUCGAUGCUUGUAUUACUUUUCUAAAAGUAUUCAUGAUCUUGAUGAUGCUGCUAUUGUAUACAGAAUUUCUGUAUGUGACAGUCAUAUUAUUAUGGCAAUCUUUUACAAACUCGUUUAUUUCUAAAGACGGUUUGGUGUAUUGUAUUCAAGUACUCUUGACUGAGAUGUACAUCGGUUUGGGGGGAUCAUUCGGCUGUAAUUGGUCGGUGGCCUCAAUCGUUUAACCAACUCGAUAUUGUAACGACGCGACGAAACCGUCCACUCCGAUCUAUCCAUGGUCGUGGUUGUGGCUGUCAUACACAUAAAUGGCUGCAAAAUAUCAGGACACUUAAUUUUGUGAUAAUGCUUUCUUUAUGUAACAGAUUAAGAAGUGUUUGAUUUUCUUUCUAAAGAUCCUACUCUGAUUCCUGCUGCUUCUGAUGAACAUGAUGAUCAAGUUACUCAAUGGACCAAUCAAUCUCCUCAUUAUCCUCCAAACUUCAGAUUCGGAAGAGAACAAUAGGUCAAAAACAAGGUUCGCAUGUAGGAUGACCUAACUCUGUUAUAUCAGAAACAUAUAGCAAGUGAAAACAUAGAGGUGAAUCCAUGACUCAUUUUAUAUUUAGUUUUGGUUUAGGUUUAUUAGAUGUAUAAUGUACUUAGUCAAUCACGAUGCUAUUGUCAUUGAUGUGUAGACACUAAAAUAAUUUGUAUUCAUACAAUUAUAGUAAUCAAGUUUUAAAUUCUUCAAAA
Molecule: long non-coding RNA, 2009 nt
Organism: Vicia villosa (hairy vetch)
Lineage: Eukaryota; Viridiplantae; Streptophyta; Magnoliopsida; Fabales; Fabaceae
Exons: 2
Source: RefSeq, a predicted model, not a curated record